CAAGCCAACACUAUUUGAAGGGAAAGCCUCAGUUUCUGCCCAGCAGAGCUGGGAUUAGGACUAGGAAUUCAGGGGUGCAGCACGCUGUCUGGAACAACACUUAACCCCUCAAGGCCACUACAU
Molecule: long non-coding RNA, 123 nt
Organism: Gavialis gangeticus (Gharial)
Lineage: Eukaryota; Metazoa; Chordata; Crocodylia; Gavialidae
Exons: 2
Source: RefSeq, a predicted model, not a curated record